GACGAACGCUGGCGGCGUGCUUAACACAUGCAAGUCGAACGGAAAGGCCCUGCUUUUGUGGGGUGCUCGAGUGGCGAACGGGUGAGUAACACGUGAGUAACCUGCCCUUGAUUUUGGUAUAACUUCAGGAAACUGGGGCUAAUACCGUAUAGGAGCUCCUGCUGCAUGGUGGGGGUUGGAAAGUUUCGGCGGUAGGGGAUGGAUUCGCGGCUUAUCAGCUUGUUGGUGGGGUAGUGGCUUACCAAGGCUUUGACGGGUAGCCGGCAUGAGAGGGUGACCGGGGACAUUGGGACUGAGAGACGGACCAGACUCCUACGGGAGGCAGCAGUGGGGAAUAUUGCACAAUGGGAGGGAGCCUGAUGCAGAGACGCCGCGUGCGGGAUGACGGCCUUCGGGUUGUAAACCGCUUUCGCCUGUGACGAAGCGUGAGUGACGGUAAUGGGUGAAGAAGCACCGGCUAACUACGUG
Molecule: ribosomal RNA, 468 nt
Filed under: uncultured bacterium
Lineage: Bacteria
Description: partial 16S ribosomal RNA
Rfam family: Bacterial small subunit ribosomal RNA
Source: RNAcentral